UAGGGAAUCUUCCACAAUGGACGCAAGUCUGAUGGAGCAACGCCGCGUGAGUGAAGAAGGUUUUCGGAUCGUAAAGCUCUGUUGUUGGUGAAGAAGGAUAGAGGCAGUAACUGGUCUUUAUUUGACGGUAAUCAACCAGAAAGUCACGGCUAACUACGUGCCAGCAGCCGCGGUAAUACGUAGGUGGCAAGCGUUGUCCGGAUUUAUUGGGCGUAAAGCGAGCGCAGGCGGAAUGAUAAGUCUGAUGUGAAAGCCCACGGCUCAACCGUGGAACUGCAUCGGAAACUGUCAUUCUUGAGUGCAGAAGAGGAGAGUGGAAUUCCAUGUGUAGCGGUGGAAGGCGUAGAUAUAUGGAAGAACACCAGUGGCGAAGGCGGCUCUCUGGUCUGCAACUGACGCUGAGGCUCGAAAGCAUGGGUAGCGAACAGG
This 429-nucleotide ribosomal RNA is filed under the name bacterium. RNAcentral describes it as "partial 16S ribosomal RNA". It matches the Rfam family "Bacterial small subunit ribosomal RNA", at positions 355 to 776 of the family's 1533-position model. The record is from RNAcentral.